CAGAGCCUUGUGCAUGCAAGGCAGACACUUUACCUACUGAGCUAUAUCCCUAGCCCCUAUUUUGUUAAUUUCUUACGGAAAUACUGAAAUUCUUAUUUUAAGAUGAUAAUUAAUAAAGUUUUAUAAAAGCCUUUUUCAUUUAUAAUCAUAUAUACUAUAUAUUUCACUCAGACAUAUACUUUUUUUUAAUGAGGUAACUUUUUAUUUUAUUCAUUUAUUUUUUUAUGUGGUUCUAAGGAUUGAACCAGGGCCUCAUAUGUGCUAAGCAAGCGCUCUACCGCUGAGCCAUAACCCCAGCACCUAAGGAAUAUACUUUUAAUCUCCUUAGGCAAUUGACAGAAUUUUGCUUUUUUUUAAUGCACCUUUAUUAGGCAGUUAGUAUGUAUAGCCACUUAAUUAUGCAAACAUGAAUUAGUUAAAAACAUGAUUAUAAAUAGAACCCUGUGUGCUUUGGGAAAAAAGAGAGAGAAAACAGCUGUUAAGUUGCCAAAAUAAAAAUAUUUUACCCUUAACAUUUUGCAUUUUCUUUUUUACAGGCCCAGUGCUUUUACAGCAGAGAAACUCUAAAGGGGAAUUGCCCUUGGAUUAUGUAGUAUCACCUCAAACCAAGGAAGAACUAUUUGCUAUUACAAAACUAGAAGACACAGUGGAGAAUUUUCAUGCACAAGCAGAGAAACAUUUUUACCACCAGCAAUUUGAAUUUGGUUCAUUUUUACUUAGUAGGAUGUUGCUAAAUUUUUGUUCGAUUUUUGACUUAUCCUCAGAGUUCAUCUUAGCUUUCAAAGGGUUAACUCAUCUAAAUGACCUGCGUAUGCCUUGUAAAAGUUAUAAAGAAACCCCUAGUUCUCAUACUGCCUGGUUAUUGGAUCUUUAUGCUAGAAAUAUAAAGACAUUGCAGAAGCUCCCAAAUAUUCUUCAGGAACUGCCUGAGAAUUUGAAAGUAUGUCCUGGAGUACAUACAGAGGCCUUAUUAGUGACAUUGGAAAUGAUGUGUCGAUCAGUCACAGAGUUUUCAUGAUGAUGCCAAAAAGUAUGAGUCAGUGUUCUAAACAUGUUCAACUUGCUUUAGUCAUUUAGUACAGACUUCAUGGCUUACUGACAGAUAGUAAUUUUAUUUAUUUAUUGACAGAUUUACAGCCUUGAAAAAUUUUAAAAGCACUUAAAAAUCUUCAUCAGAAGUAUAGUCUAAGCUUCUGUCUUUUUACAGUGUGUAGAAUUUGACUCAGAAGUAAAAAAAAAAAAAAAAAAAAGUUUGGUAUCAACUAUUUUCAUUAAUCUGAUUUUUUUGUUGUUGUUGUUGUUCUGGAAUUGAUAUUAUUUAUCUAUUCAUUGUAAAUGUAAAAAAUUUAAUUUAAAUAUUUUUUCAAAUCAAUAUGUAAUGUCCUCUAGGUGUUCUAGGUCUUAGAAUCAUGGUAAGGAUAUUCAUGGAAAUGUGUGUCUGUAAACUUGUAACUACCUUUUCUUCUCUAUGGGUUGAUGGACUAAAAUAUACAUUUUAGUUUUGUGUGUUUCCCAAAUAAACAUCUUUGAAAUUUAAAAUAUUAAUUAUUAUUCUUAUG
This 1559-nucleotide long non-coding RNA is filed under the name Marmota monax (woodchuck). The record is from RNAcentral. Lineage: Eukaryota; Metazoa; Chordata; Mammalia; Rodentia; Sciuridae.